CAGCAGCCGCGGUAAUACAGAGGGUGCGAGCGUUAAUCGGAUUUACUGGGCGUAAAGCGUGCGUAGGCGGCUUCUUAAGUUGGAUGUGAAAUCCCUGAGCUUAACUUAGGAAUUGCAUUCGAUACUGGGAAGCUAGAGUAUGGGAGAGGAUGGUAGAAUUCCAGGUGUAGCGGUGAAAUGCGUAGAGAUCUGGAGGAAUACCGAUGGCGAAGGCAGCCAUCUGGCCUAAUACUGACGCUGAGGUACGAAAGCAUGGGGAGCAAACAGGAUUAGAUACCCGGGUAGUCCCUGUCUCUUAUAC
RNAcentral lists this ribosomal RNA (301 nucleotides) under uncultured bacterium. Its description in RNAcentral is "partial 16S ribosomal RNA". It matches the Rfam family "Bacterial small subunit ribosomal RNA", at positions 509 to 807 of the family's 1533-position model. The record is from RNAcentral.